This is a non-coding RNA of Cavia porcellus (domestic guinea pig), 64 nucleotides long. The record is from Rfam. Lineage: Eukaryota; Metazoa; Chordata; Mammalia; Rodentia; Caviidae.
GGGGAUUUAGCUCAGUGGCAUAAGUGCCUACCUUGAAAGUAGGCAGUCAUGAGUUUGAUCCCCA